AUACCUUUCUCGGCCUUUUGGCUAAGAUCAAGUGUAGUAUCUGUUCUUAUCAGUUUAAUAUCUGAUACGUGGGCCAUUGGUCCACAUGAUAUUAAAUUAAUUUCUUGAGGGGGAAAGACCGUCACGGUAGCUUGCUACUGGGUCUCUCUGGCGUCGCUCGGGGCGUUGCACUACAGCCCUUGCCUGGCGCACCCCAC
Molecule: small nuclear RNA, 197 nt
Organism: Eucalyptus grandis
Lineage: Eukaryota; Viridiplantae; Streptophyta; Magnoliopsida; Myrtales; Myrtaceae
Product: U2 spliceosomal RNA
Exons: 1
Source: RefSeq, a predicted model, not a curated record